AUCUGGUUACCAUGACUCAGGCUUUGUGCCGAGGAUAUGUCAUGAGGAAGGAGUUUGUCAAAAUGAUGGAGAGGAGGGAGUCAAUUUAUUCCAUCCAAUACAACAUCCGCUCAUUCAUGAAU
This is a long non-coding RNA of Sinocyclocheilus rhinocerous, 122 nucleotides long. RefSeq lists it as uncharacterized. Lineage: Eukaryota; Metazoa; Chordata; Actinopteri; Cypriniformes; Cyprinidae. The transcript is spliced from 2 exons. The record is from RefSeq and is a predicted model, not a curated record.